This is a non-coding RNA of Pelobates cultripes (western spadefoot toad), 251 nucleotides long. The record is from the annotation of a GenBank genome assembly. NCBI's taxonomy places the organism in Eukaryota, Metazoa, Chordata, Amphibia, Anura, Pelobatidae.
GUCCACUUGUCUCCUUACCUUCUUACUAGCAGGCAGAAGUUCCUGGUAUAGUCUGAGACAGAGAAAAGGUGUCUGUAGUGAGUGUAGAAGAAAGGGGACAUGCCACAGUGUUAGAGAGAACAACGUCUGCAUUACCUAAACUAACUUUAAUGUCAGCCAGUGCACACAAGUUUUGUUCCCAUACAUCCCUCUUAAGUUUCCAAACUUAAAGGGACACUAUAGUCACCAGAACAACUACAGCUUAUUGUAUU